UAGAGUUUGAUCAUGGCUCAGAUUGAACGCUGGCGGCAGGCCUAACACAUGCAAGUCGAGCGGUAGAGAGGAGCUUGCUCCUCUUGAGAGCGGCGGACGGGUGAGUAAUGCCUAGGAAUCUGCCUGGUAGUGGGGGAUAACGUUCGGAAACGGACGCUAAUACCGCAUACGUCCUACGGGAGAAAGCAGGGGACCUUCGGGCCUUGCGCUAUCAGAUGAGCCUAGGUCGGAUUAGCUAGUUGGUGAGGUAAUGGCUCACCAAGGCGACGAUCCGUAACUGGUCUGAGAGGAUGAUCAGUCACACUGGAACUGAGACACGGUCCAGACUCCUACGGGAGGCAGCAGUGGGGAAUAUUGGACAAUGGGCGAAAGCCUGAUCCAGCCAUGCCGCGUGUGUGAAGAAGGUCUUCGGAUUGUAAAGCACUUUAAGUUGGGAGGAAGGGCAGUAAAUUAAUACUUUGCUGUUUUGACGUACCGAC
This 479-nucleotide ribosomal RNA is filed under the name Pseudomonas sp. 01WB03.4-33. Its description in RNAcentral is "bacterial SSU rRNA". It matches the Rfam family "Bacterial small subunit ribosomal RNA", at positions 1 to 482 of the family's 1533-position model. Lineage: Bacteria; Pseudomonadati; Pseudomonadota; Gammaproteobacteria; Pseudomonadales; Pseudomonadaceae. The record is from RNAcentral.